This 129-nucleotide ribosomal RNA is filed under the name Triticum aestivum (bread wheat). RNAcentral describes it as "partial small subunit ribosomal RNA". Lineage: Eukaryota; Viridiplantae; Streptophyta; Magnoliopsida; Poales; Poaceae. The record is from RNAcentral.
GAAUCACUCUAUUUGCCUCUGCCAUUCUAUGAGUCGCUUCCUUUUUGCGUAUGGUACCCCCGCUCCCUUUGGCAACAUCUACUAAUUUUUGGGAUGUUUUUUUUUGAACUUAUUUUGGGAUGUUUCUAA